This 389-nucleotide unclassified non-coding RNA is filed under the name soil metagenome. RNAcentral describes it as "partial contains 5.8S ribosomal RNA, internal transcribed spacer 2, and large subunit ribosomal RNA". The stretch from base 1 to 122 matches the Rfam family "5.8S ribosomal RNA", at positions 35 to 154 of the family's 154-position model. The record is from RNAcentral.
GAUGAAGAACGUAGCGAAAUGCGAUACUUGGUGUGAAUUGCAGAAUCCCGCGAAUCAUCGAGUUUUUGAACGCAAGUUGCGCCCGAAGCCAUUCGGCCGAGGGCACGUCUGCCUGGGUGUCACGCAUCGUUGCCCCCCCAAACUCCGGUUCGGGCGGGGCGGAAGUUGGCCUCCCGUGCGUGCCUGCACGCGCGGUUAGCCCAAAAGCGAGUCCUCGGCGACGAGCGCCACGACAAUCGGUGGUUGUCCAACCCUCGGUGCCAUGCUGCGCGCGCUAGCCGCUCACUGUUACUCGACGACCCCAAUGCGUCGUAGCCACGACGCUCACAACGCGACCCCAGGUCAGGCGGGGCUACCCGCUGAGUUUAAGCAUAUCAAUAAGCGGAGGA